RNAcentral lists this ribosomal RNA (1371 nucleotides) under uncultured bacterium. RNAcentral's name for it is "bacterial SSU rRNA". It matches the Rfam family "Bacterial small subunit ribosomal RNA", at positions 28 to 1381 of the family's 1533-position model. The record is from RNAcentral.
GAUGAACGCUGGCGGCGUGCCUAAUACAUGCAAGUCGAGCGAACGGACGAGAAGCUUGCUUCUCUGAUGUUAGCGGCGGACGGGUGAGUAACACGUGGAUAACCUACCUAUAAGACUGGGAUAACUUCGGGAAACCGGAGCUAAUACCGGAUAAUAUUUUGAACCGCAUGGUUCAAAAGUGAAAGACGGUCUUGCUGUCACUUAUAGAUGGAUCCGCGCUGCAUUAGCUAGUUGGUAAGGUAACGGCUUACCAAGGCAACGAUGCAUAGCCGACCUGAGAGGGUGAUCGGCCACACUGGAACUGAGACACGGUCCAGACUCCUACGGGAGGCAGCAGUAGGGAAUCUUCCGCAAUGGGCGAAAGCCUGACGGAGCAACGCCGCGUGAGUGAUGAAGGUCUUCGGAUCGUAAAACUCUGUUAUUAGGGAAGAACAUAUGUGUAAGUAACUGUGCACAUCUUGACGGUACCCUAUCAGAAAGCCACGGCUAACUACGUGCCAGCAGCCGCGGUAAUACGUAGGUGGCAAGCGUUAUCCGGAAUUAUUGGGCGUAAAGCGCGCGUAGGCGGUUUUUUAGUCUGAUGUGAAAGCCCACGGCUCAUUCGUGGAGGGUCAUUGGAAACUGGAAAACUUGAGUGCAGAAGAGGAAAGUGGAAUUCCAUGUGUAGCGGUGAAAUGCGCAGAGAUAUGGAGGAACACCAGUGGCGAAGGCGACUUUCUGGUCUGUAACUGACGCUGAUGUGCGAAAGCGUGGGGAUCAAACAGGAUUAGAUACCCUGGUAGUCCACGCCGUAAACGAUGAGUGCUAAGUGUUAGGGGGUUUCCGCCCCUUAGUGCUGCAGCUAACGCAUUAAGCACUCCGCCUGGGGAGUACGACCGCAAGGUUGAAACUCAAAGGAAUUGACGGGGACCCGCACAAGCGGUGGAGCAUGUGGUUUAAUUCGAAGCAACGCGAAGAACCUUACCAAAUCUUGACAUCCUUUGACAACUCUAGAGAUAGAGCCUUCCCCUUCGGGGGACAAAGUGACAGGUGGUGCAUGGUUGUCGUCAGCUCGUGUCGUGAGAUGUUGGGUUAAGUCCCGCAACGAGCGCAACCCUUAAGCUUAGUUGCCAUCAUUAAGUUGGGCACUCUAAGUUGACUGCCGGUGACAAACCGGAGGAAGGUGGGGAUGACGUCAAAUCAUCAUGCCCCUUAUGAUUUGGGCUACACACGUGCUACAAUGGACAAUACAAAGGGCAGCGAAACCGCGAGGUCAAGCAAAUCCCAUAAAGUUGUUCUCAGUUCGGAUUGUAGUCUGCAACUCGACUACAUGAAGCUGGAAUCGCUAGUAAUCGUAGAUCAGCAUGCUACGGUGAAUACGUUCCAGGGUCU